RNAcentral lists this transfer RNA (72 nucleotides) under Heterocephalus glaber (naked mole-rat). It matches the Rfam family "tRNA". From Rfam's summary of the family: Transfer RNA (tRNA) molecules are approximately 80 nucleotides in length. The record is from Rfam by way of RNAcentral. Lineage: Eukaryota; Metazoa; Chordata; Mammalia; Rodentia; Bathyergidae.
GGUGAUGUAGCUCAGUGGUAGAGUGCUUGCUUAGAAUGCAUGAGGCCCUGGGUUUGAUCCCAAGUACCACAG